CUAUCUUGUAACUAACUACUGACUAGCAUUUAUAGUUUGAUUGUAAUUUGUAUUAAUUAUAUUAUAUGCAGACUGCCUUACCCGAACGUAUGUGUUGUAUGAUGUAAUUAUACACUAAUUAUAUUCAGACUUCCAUGUGAUAUGUACUUUAUAAUACCACUACGUAACAAUAAUAUACAAAUUAGAAUCUGAUGCAUAAUAUUACUAGAUUCUAAUUAUAUUAAGAAUGCUAGGUCAUAGGUGUGAUGUCUCAAAUUUGUUAAUUAUAUCAAGAUAUCCAUGUGAUGGCAAUGUUAU
Molecule: non-coding RNA, 297 nt
Organism: Pelobates cultripes (western spadefoot toad)
Lineage: Eukaryota; Metazoa; Chordata; Amphibia; Anura; Pelobatidae
Source: the annotation of a GenBank genome assembly